This 871-nucleotide ribosomal RNA is filed under the name uncultured bacterium. RNAcentral's name for it is "bacterial SSU rRNA". It matches the Rfam family "Bacterial small subunit ribosomal RNA", at positions 8 to 883 of the family's 1533-position model. The record is from RNAcentral.
AGAGUUUGAUCAUGGCUCAGGAUAAACGCUGGCGGCGUGCCUAAUACAUGCAAGUUGUGCGGUAAGGCUUUGCACUAAGUACUUAAUUUUUUAAGUAUUUUGUGCAGAGUACACGAGCAGCGGACGGCUGAGUAACGCGUAGGAAUCUACCUUGAAGUGAGGGAUAAGCAUCAGAAAUGAUGUCUAAUACCGCAUGUGCUCCACGGAGUAAAGCUUCGGCGCUUUAAGAAGAGCCUGCGUAUGAUUAGCUAGUUGGUAAGGUAAUGGCUUACCAAGGCGAUGAUCAUUAGCUGGUCUGAGAGGAUGAUCAGCCAGACUGGGACUGAGAACGGCCCAGACUCCUACGGGAGGCAGCAGUAGGGAAUUUUCCACAAUGGGCGAAAGCCUGAUGGAGCAACGCCGCGUGCAGGAUGAAGGCCUUCGGGUUGUAAACUGCUUUUAUAUGUGAUGAUUAUGACAGUAGCAUAUGAAUAAGGAUCGGCUAACUCCGUGCCAGCAGCCGCGGUCAUACGGAGGAUUCAAGCGUUUAUCCGGAAUUACUGGGCGUAAAGAGUUGCGUAGGUGGCAAAGUAAGCAAAUAGUAAAAGCGUACAGCUCAACUGUAUUUAUAUUAUUUGAACUGCUUAGCUAGAGGACGAGAGAGGUUAUUGGAAUUCCUAGUGUAGGAGUGAAAUCCGUAGAUAUUAGGAGGAACACCGAUGGCGUAGGCAGAUAACUGGCUCGUUCCUGACACUAAGGCACGAAAGCGUGGGGAGCAAACGGGAUUAGAUACUCCGGUAGUCCACGCUGUAAACUAUGAAUGCUAGCUGUUAAAGGUAUCGACCCCUUUAGUAGCGAAGCUAACGCGUUAAGCAUUCCGCCUGUGGAGUAC